RNAcentral lists this ribosomal RNA (1020 nucleotides) under Paenarthrobacter aurescens. RNAcentral's name for it is "bacterial SSU rRNA". It matches the Rfam family "Bacterial small subunit ribosomal RNA", at positions 56 to 1089 of the family's 1533-position model. Lineage: Bacteria; Bacillati; Actinomycetota; Actinomycetes; Micrococcales; Micrococcaceae. The record is from RNAcentral.
UGCAGUCGAACGAUGAUCCCAGCUUGCUGGGGGAUUAGUGGCGAACGGGUGAGUAACACGUGAGUAACCUGCCCUUGACUCUGGGAUAAGCCUGGGAAACUGGGUCUAAUACCGGAUAUGACCGCUCUGACGCAUGUCAGGUGGUGGAAAGCUUUUGUGGUUUUGGAUGGACUCGCGGCCUAUCAGCUUGUUGGUGGGGUAAUGGCCUACCAAGGCGACGACGGGUAGCCGGCCUGAGAGGGUGACCGGCCACACUGGGACUGAGACACGGCCCAGACUCCUACGGGAGGCAGCAGUGGGGAAUAUUGCACAAUGGGCGCAAGCCUGAUGCAGCGACGCCGCGUGAGGGAUGACGGCCUUCGGGUUGUAAACCUCUUUCAGUAGGGAAGAAGCGAAAGUGACGGUACCUGCAGAAGAAGCGCCGGCUAACUACGUGCCAGCAGCCGCGGUAAUACGUAGGGCGCAAGCGUUAUCCGGAAUUAUUGGGCGUAAAGAGCUCGUAGGCGGUUUGUCGCGUCUGCUGUGAAAGACCGGGGCUCAACUCCGGUUCUGCAGUGGGUACGGGCAGACUAGAGUGAUGUAGGGGAGACUGGAAUUCCUGGUGUAGCGGUGAAAUGCGCAGAUAUCAGGAGGAACACCGAUGGCGAAGGCAGGUCUCUGGGCAUUAACUGACGCUGAGGAGCGAAAGCAUGGGGAGCGAACAGGAUUAGAUACCCUGGUAGUCCAUGCCGUAAACGUUGGGCACUAGGUGUGGGGGACAUUCCACGUUUUCCGCGCCGUAGCUAACGCAUUAAGUGCCCCGCCUGGGGAGUACGGCCGCAAGGCUAAAACUCAAAGGAAUUGACGGGGGCCCGCACAAGCGGCGGAGCAUGCGGAUUAAUUCGAUGCAACGCGAAGAACCUUACCAAGGCUUGACAUGAACCGGUAAUACCUGGAAAACAGGUGCCCCGCUUGCGGUCGGUUUACAGGUGGUGCAUGGUUGUCGUCAGCUCGUGUCGUGAGAUGUUGGGUUAAGUCCCG